AGUGUAGGGGUUCACAAUGCAAAUCCAGUACUAGAGGCGAAUUGUCCACUUCAACGUGUCACGGUAGCAAAUGUGUAACAAACGUAAGGGUCUUUCUAAAAAUUAUUCCUUAACUUGUUUUUAUUACAAACCGCCA
Papilio machaon (common yellow swallowtail) is the source of this 136-nucleotide long non-coding RNA. RefSeq lists it as uncharacterized. The record is from RefSeq and is a predicted model, not a curated record. The transcript is spliced from 3 exons. Lineage: Eukaryota; Metazoa; Arthropoda; Insecta; Lepidoptera; Papilionidae.